RNAcentral lists this ribosomal RNA (492 nucleotides) under uncultured bacterium. Its description in RNAcentral is "partial 16S ribosomal RNA". It matches the Rfam family "Bacterial small subunit ribosomal RNA", at positions 29 to 507 of the family's 1533-position model. The record is from RNAcentral.
AGUGAACGCUGGCGGUAGGCCUAACACAUGCAAGUCGAACGGCAGCACAGUAAGAGCUUGCUCUUACGGGUGGCGAGUGGCGGACGGGUGAGGAAUACAUCGGAAUCUACUUUUUCGUGGGGGAUAACGUAGGGAAACUUACGCUAAUACCGCAUACGACCUACGGGUGAAAGCAGGGGAUCUUCGGACCUUGCGCGAGUGAAUGAGCCGAUGUCGGAUUAGCUAGUUGGCGGGGUAAAGGCCCACCAAGGCGACGAUCCGUAGCUGGUCUGAGAGGAUGAUCAGCCACACUGGAACUGAGACACGGUCCAGACUCCUACGGGAGGCAGCAGUGGGGAAUAUUGGACAAUGGGCGCAAGCCUGAUCCAGCCAUACCGCGUGGGUGAAGAAGGCAUUCGGGUUGUAAAGCCCUUUUGUUGGGAAAGAAAAGCAGCAGGUUAAUACCCCGCUGUUCUGACGGUACCCAAAGAAUAAGCACCGGCUAACUUCGUG